UGAAACAAAGACAGGUUCUAACUCCGAUUCUCCACCGGGCGCGUCUGUGCUGCGUUCCGGUUUUGUUCCGUCCUCCACCACGAGCCAUACCAAACCUGGAGCAGCGGAGCCUC
Etheostoma cragini (Arkansas darter) is the source of this 113-nucleotide long non-coding RNA. RefSeq lists it as uncharacterized. The transcript has 3 exons. The record is from RefSeq and is a predicted model, not a curated record. NCBI's taxonomy places the organism in Eukaryota, Metazoa, Chordata, Actinopteri, Perciformes, Percidae.